UGACGGUACCCUAAGAAUAAGCACCGGCUAACUACGUGCCAGCAGCCGCGGUAAUACGUAGGGUGCAAGCGUUAAUCGGAAUUACUGGGCGUAAAGCGUGCGCAGGCGGUUUUUUAAGUCAGAUGUGAAAUCCCCGGGCUCAACCUGGGAACUGCAUUUGAAACUGUCAGGCUAGAGUUCGGUAGAGGGGGAUGGAAUUCCAGGUGUAGCGGUGAAAUGCGUAGAUAUCNGGAGGAACACCGAUGGCGAAGGCAGCCCCCUGGACCAGUACUGACGCUCAGGCACGAAAGC
RNAcentral lists this ribosomal RNA (291 nucleotides) under beta proteobacterium SCGC AAA024-J15. Its description in RNAcentral is "partial 16S small subunit ribosomal RNA". It matches the Rfam family "Bacterial small subunit ribosomal RNA", at positions 470 to 760 of the family's 1533-position model. The record is from RNAcentral. Lineage: Bacteria; Pseudomonadati; Pseudomonadota; Betaproteobacteria.